GUAAAUGUUUCUUCAUCUUGAAAAAAUAUAAAAAUUGCAUGUCUUGUACAAUUCACUACUGGAAAUUUUCAGUUUUUCAACCACCUAUUACGAUAAAAAAUAUAAUGGUCAAAAUUUCCUACCACCUUUUACUUUGUUGUCCGUAUUUUUGACCACGCUUGAAGGAUGGUUGGAAAAACUUUUUAGCCAUAUGAAACUGUUUAAAUUAGCCUUUUUGUUUCCGACCACCAAAACUGGUAGAUGACUUGUGGGGUUAAUGACUGAAAUGUGAAGGAAAAUAGAGGACUAACAAAAAUAGGAAGAUUUUAAAACUUGGACAAAAAUAGAAAAAGUGUGUUUGGGUGAUGCAUUUCAGUGUCAGAAACGCAUCUCCCAAAUGCGUUUGUUUUUACUUGCGUCUCAUGUAUUUUUUACUUGCGUCUAAUGUAUUUUUUUUUUAAAGAGCGUCGAGCUGGUGACCAGUCGCCUUCUCCUCAAGUCGCCUUCCCCGGCAACCAAUUUUUUUUUCUAUGAGACGCAAGUGGCACUUGGGUCUCUGGUUAACGUGCGAAAAAAAAAAAGAAAAACAAACGCAUUUAGGAGAUGCGUUUCUGACACUGAAACGCAUCUCCCAAAUGCACUUUUCUUAUUUUUGUCCACUUUUUAAAAUUUUCUUAUUUUUGCCCAUGCAUGAGAAAAGUAUCACAUUUCAGUCUUUAACCCUCAUUUGCGCCCCUUGCCUUUCCCACUCCUCACCUCAAACUCUCCUGUGUCUCAACGACUCCAUGACUCCACCCAACGUAACCAUCAUCUCCGGUGAUUGCCGUUCAAGAGUCAAGACAGGCGACAACUACUCGGUCUCUUGCUCUCCGCCUCUCUGCCGCUCACAGCAUUGUCUCCGCCUUUUCGCUCCUCACCCUCUGACCCUCUCCAUCCCUCUGCCUCUCUAGAAACCCUAGAUCUGCUUUCGAGACUUCGAGUUUGUAGUCUUCUUCGGUGAUCGUCUCUGGCCAUGAAAAUGUAACAGACUAUAGAGUUCUUGAGGGAAAUUGAUAUUCUGUCAAAGCUUCAUUACCCGAAUGUGGUGGGUGUAGUAUAAGAUGGAAUAGGUGGAAUGCUUGCUACUAUUACUGAGUAUGUAUAUGGUGGAUGGUUCUCUAAGGCAUGUUCUACUUCGCAAAGAUUGGUUGAUGUGUUCUCCUUUAGUAUUGUCUUAUGGGAGGUUCGUUCUCACUGGAGAGGAGCCUUAUGACAACAUGCAUUACGAUGCAAUCAUAGGAGGCAUAGUGAGCAACACAUUAAGGCCAAGUAUUCAAAGUUACUAUGAUCCAGAGUGGAGAAACUUAAUGGACCAGUGUUGGGCUCCAAAUCAGAUGGGUUUUUAAAUUUUCAACUAUAUAUUGAUGAAUUCUCUUCGAGCAUAGAAAAUGUGUAUAUGUUUGCAGAUAUCUUACCAAUUUGUGACAUUUUAUUUUUUAUUUUUUUUCAUUUCACUACAGAGGCAAUCCCCGUUGUAGUGAAAGUAAUUUUAUUUUCCUAGGUAAUACCUCUCCGACCACCAAAAGCGUGGUCAGAAAAUCUCACGGCUAUAAUAUUUAUUGGUGACCGUUUUCGACCACCGAUGGCCAGAAAUUAUGUAUCUCUAACUUUCUUUCCCAACAAAAAUUUCCGACCACUUUGUAAUAGCAGACGUUAUUUCUAACCACUUCAUGCAAUGGUCGGAAAUAGUGACAGAGGUUUUUAUAGAUAUCCCAAGUGGUAGGAAAUGUGAUCGGAACAACUGUUUUGACAAAAAAUUGCCAGUUUCUAACCACUUUAUAUAUGGUGAUCAAAAUAUUUGACAUUUC
This is a long non-coding RNA of Ipomoea triloba (trilobed morning glory), 1826 nucleotides long. RefSeq lists it as uncharacterized. The transcript has 5 exons. The record is from RefSeq and is a predicted model, not a curated record. NCBI's taxonomy places the organism in Eukaryota, Viridiplantae, Streptophyta, Magnoliopsida, Solanales, Convolvulaceae.